Molecule: transfer RNA, 74 nt
Filed under: Halorubrum alkaliphilum
Lineage: Archaea; Methanobacteriati; Methanobacteriota; Halobacteria; Halobacteriales; Haloferacaceae
Description: tRNA-Asn
Rfam family: tRNA
About the family: Transfer RNA (tRNA) molecules are approximately 80 nucleotides in length. Their secondary structure includes four short double-helical elements and three loops (D, anti-codon, and T loops).
Source: RNAcentral
GCCUGGGAGGCCCCCCUGGUGGGGGUGCCGGGCUGUUACCCUGACCGUGGAAGGUUCGAGUCCUUCUCCAGGCG